RNAcentral lists this long non-coding RNA (425 nucleotides) under Olea europaea (common olive). RNAcentral describes it as "long non-coding RNA (OEUR_LNC001553)". Lineage: Eukaryota; Viridiplantae; Streptophyta; Magnoliopsida; Lamiales; Oleaceae. The record is from RNAcentral.
GAUAUCAGCCACCAACUCACCGGCAUCCACCUCAUAAAUAUACCCCACCACCUUCUUCCCACGGACAGCCACCACCACCAUCAUUCUCACCACCUCCAAUUUCAUAUGGGCAGCCACCUCCGCCUCCAGUAUACUCUCCUCCUCCUCCAGCAUACUCCCCCCCUCCUCCUCCACCAAUAUAUUCAUCACCUCCGUCACCUGUAUACUCUCCUCCUCCUCCAGUAUAUUCUCCACCUCCGCCAUUACACUCUCCUCCUCCUCCAGUAUAUCCACCACCUCCGCCGCCAGUAUACUCUCCUCCUCCACCAGUAUAUUCACCACCUCCUCCACCAGUGUACUCACCACCUCCUUAUGACCGGUCACCACCUAGCUAUUCAACGCCGCCUCCUCACCAUGGACAGUCGCCUCCAACACCUCAUCAUCAC